This 770-nucleotide long non-coding RNA is filed under the name Setaria viridis. RNAcentral's name for it is "long non-coding RNA (SVIR_LNC005866)". The record is from RNAcentral. Lineage: Eukaryota; Viridiplantae; Streptophyta; Magnoliopsida; Poales; Poaceae.
GAAGGAGGAGCAGGUCUGGGCCGGCAUGGAUGUGGGUCGCCGCAGACUGGGUCGCGGGUGUGCGACUUUGUGCGCGUGGGAGGAGCGGCCUGGUGGCAGCUGGGCCAGUGGAGGGAGGCGGGCCGGUGUGCGUGCGUGGACACGAGCAUGCCGGGCCGGAAUGGGUGUUGGGCUAGGGAAAGAGGUGGCAGGCCGAGCUGGCUGCAAAAAUGGGAAGGGCGGCCCGUGAGGGGGUUUCUAGGAUUCUUCUAAUUUGUUUGUUUGGGGUUUAGUAGUCAAAUUUGAAAUAGAUUUCGAAUUUGGCUAGGGUUUGAGAUUUGGGUUGGGGUAGAGAGGACAUUUGGAAGAAUUUGAAGUUUGGGUGAGGUGGGAAGGAGCUAGGAUUGGGUGGAAGCCUUAUAGGGUUUCCGGAUAGAAUUAAUAUUCAAACUGGGUUCGAAUAUUAAUUCCAGGAUUUGAGAAUGAAAGAUCUUGAAGGUUCCAUUUCUAGGAUCUGGAGAGUUAGACUUAGAGUAGGUUUUCUAAAGGGAGCAACCAAAUACAACACAUAUGUUGGUAUUUUAUGCAUGUUUUACUUGUAAAAUUGUUUUGAAUGUUGAGGAAAGAGAGAAUGUGUUUAGUUUGAAGAAAAUUUUUAAAAAGUGUGCAUUUUUAAAUGCUCUAAAAAGCAGGAUGUUACACAAAUAACAUGUCUAGUCAUGAAAAGCCACUAAAGAACCAACAAACUCCCUUCAAGCUCCCCCUAUCUCUACUCCCCCUGUCUAUCUCCC